UCAGUGGAGAAGCUGUCUUACCUACAUGAAAUAGAAUAUAUGCAAAUCAAACAGGAUAAUGGAAUAAACAGAAAAAGGUUAAAUGGACUGUUUAUAAUACCAGGACAAAAGGAAAUUCAAGAUCUCGUCCACUGUUCUCGAGUACCACACAAAGGCAGUGAUUCAUGCUUCUCAAAGAUCUGCUGAUUUACACCAGAUAAAGAAGCCCUGUGGUUUAUUUGACAUCACUAUCCCCAUACCCAUCCAGAAAUCACAGAAAUACAAUUCUAUUUCUGUGCCUAGCCUGAAUCCCCAUCAACAUGGCUUUGGUAGAAGGACAGAGCUGGUAAGAUGUUUAAUCUGCAGGCAGUCGUAUUAAAAAAAAAAAAAAAAAA
This is a long non-coding RNA of Oxyura jamaicensis (ruddy duck), 374 nucleotides long. RefSeq lists it as uncharacterized. Lineage: Eukaryota; Metazoa; Chordata; Aves; Anseriformes; Anatidae. The record is from RefSeq and is a predicted model, not a curated record. The transcript is spliced from 2 exons.